Molecule: unclassified non-coding RNA, 245 nt
Filed under: Hevea brasiliensis (rubber tree)
Lineage: Eukaryota; Viridiplantae; Streptophyta; Magnoliopsida; Malpighiales; Euphorbiaceae
Source: RNAcentral
GCUCCGACUAGAAAGGUCGGGAAUAUGGGCUGGCCGGCGCGAGCUGGAUUCCACGCCGGCUGACCGUUGGGCGAAAGCUUCCACGCCUAUGAUUGCUGUUUCGAGAGCACGCGCUAGUUGAGUUGCCUCUCGAGGAUUGUUGUUGAACGCUUCCUUCCGCAGCUUCAUGCGAGCGAGCUCAUAGAUAUUCUGUCUAAGAGCUGCCGGAUCGUCCUUCGCGGAAUUUAUGAUGCGCUGAAGAACCA